Haliotis rufescens (red abalone) is the source of this 242-nucleotide long non-coding RNA. RefSeq lists it as uncharacterized. The record is from RefSeq and is a predicted model, not a curated record. Lineage: Eukaryota; Metazoa; Mollusca; Gastropoda; Lepetellida; Haliotidae. The transcript is spliced from 2 exons.
AAGGGACACGGAGGCCAUGGUGGCGGACACGGGGGCAAAGGACAUGGAGGCGGCCAUGGAGGAAAGGGGCACCAUGGAUAAACAUAGCAGCUGAAAGAUGUGUCACGAGAAAGCCCUUGUUUUUUAUUCCACUGCUGCUGGACAACGGGAAACCACAACUCAUGUAAAACAUGAUGAUCUUGUAUUUUGUUUGACCAGACCUCUGAAUAAAAAUACACUCCAAAGUGUUAAAUCUGAUUACA